Molecule: ribosomal RNA, 1309 nt
Filed under: Salmonella enterica subsp. enterica serovar Poona
Lineage: Bacteria; Pseudomonadati; Pseudomonadota; Gammaproteobacteria; Enterobacterales; Enterobacteriaceae
Description: partial 23S ribosomal RNA
Rfam family: Bacterial large subunit ribosomal RNA
Source: RNAcentral
CGUGCUAAUCUGCGAUAAGCGCCGGUAAGGUGAUAUGAACCGUUAUAACCGGCGAUUUCCGAAUGGGGAAACCCAGUGUGACUCGUCACACUAUCAUUAACUGAAUCCAUAGGUUAAUGAGGCGAACCGGGGGAACUGAAACAUCUAAGUACCCCGAGGAAAAGAAAUCAACCGAGAUUCCCCCAGUAGCGGCGAGCGAACGGGGAGGAGCCCAGAGCCUGAAUCAGCAUGUGUGUUAGUGGAAGCGUCUGGAAAGGCGCGCGAUACAGGGUGACAGCCCCGUACACAAAAGCGCAUGUGCUGUGAGCUCGAUGAGUAGGGCGGGACACGUGGUAUCCUGUCUGAAUAUGGGGGGACCAUCCUCCAAGGCUAAAUACUCCUGACUGACCGAUAGUGAACCAGUACCGUGAGGGAAAGGCGAAAAGAACCCCGGCGAGGGGAGUGAAAAAGAACCUGAAACCGUGUACGUACAAGCAGUGGGAGCCCCACCACUAAGCCAGUGGUGAACUCCACAUACGCAUCCUUUGCUGAGGAUACGGUUAACGGAGCGAAAGCGACGUUCAACCUCAAAAGAAGCAGAGGGGGCUUAGUGGUGGGGUGACUGCGUACCUUUUGUAUAAUGGGUCAGCGACUUAUAUUCUGUAGCAAGGUUAACCGUAUAGGGGAGCCGCAGGGAAACCGAGUCUUAACCGGGCGUUAAGUUGCAGGGUAUAGACCCGAAACCCGGUGAUCUAGCCAUGGGCAGGUUGAAGGUUGGGUAACACUAACUGGAGGACCGAACCGACUAAUGUUGAAAAAUUAGCGGAUGACCUGUGGCUGGGGGUGAAAGGCCAAUCAAACCGGGAGAUAGCUGGUUCUCCCCGAAAGCUAUUUAGGUAGCGCCUCGUGAACUCAUCUCCGGGGGUAGAGCACUGUUUCGGCUAGGGGGCCAUCCCGGCUUACCAACCCGAUGCAAACUGCGAAUACCGGAGAAUGUUAUCACGGGAGACACACGGCGGGUGCUAACGUCCGUCGUGAAGAGGGAAACAACCCAGACCGCCAGCUAAGGUCCCAAAGUCAUGGUUAAGUGGGAAACGAUGUGGGAAGGCCCAGACAGCCAGGAUGUUGGCUUAGAAGCAGCCAUCAUUUAAAGAAAGCGUAAUAGCUCACUGGUCGAGUCGGCCUGCGCGGAAGAUGUAACGGGGCUAAACCAUGCACCGAAGCUGCGGCAGCGAACGUAUCACCCAAGACAACUUUACGGAGUUAACGAUUGACGGAGCGAAGCGACGUCAAAGCGUUCAUUAAAGUCGAGUUGGCUUAGGGAUACGUU